Molecule: ribosomal RNA, 497 nt
Filed under: uncultured bacterium
Lineage: Bacteria
Description: partial 16S ribosomal RNA
Rfam family: Bacterial small subunit ribosomal RNA
Source: RNAcentral
GAUGAACGCUGGCGGCGUGCCUAAUACAUGCAAGUCGAGCGAACGGACGAGAAGCUUGCUUCUCUGAUGUUAGCGGCGGACGGGUGAGUAACACGUGGAUAACCUACCUAUAGGACUGGGAUAACUUCGGGAAACCGGAGCUAAUACCGGAUAAUAUUUUGAACCGCAUGGAUCAAAAGUGAAAGACGGUCUUGCUGUCACUUAUAGAUGGAUCCGCGCUGCAUUAGCUAGUUGGUAAGGUAACGGCUUACCAAGGCAACGAUGCAUAGCCGACCUGAGAGGGUGAUCGGCCACACUGGAACUGAGACACGGUCCAGACUCCUACGGGAGGCAGCAGUAGGGAAUCUUCCGCAAUGGGCGAAAGCCUGACGGAGCAACGCCGCGUGAGUGAUGAAGGUCUUCGGAUCGUAAAACUCUGUUAUUAGGGAAGAACAUAUGUGUAAGUAACUGUGCACAUCUUGACGGUACCUAAUCAGAAAGCCACGGCUAACUACGUG